This 4242-nucleotide long non-coding RNA is filed under the name Salmo trutta (river trout). RNAcentral's name for it is "lncRNA (ENSSTUG00000037616.1)". Lineage: Eukaryota; Metazoa; Chordata; Actinopteri; Salmoniformes; Salmonidae. The record is from RNAcentral.
AUGACAAAGAGCAGCCAGAGUGAGAGCCAGAGGCAUGCUGUUCACUCAGAGCACAAUGGAGUGAUGGAGAGGAGGGGGAAACCAGGCAUCAUGACCUGUAGGCCAGACCCACAUCAGAACGCAGAUGAGAAAUGGGCUUUCACUCCAGAAAAAAAGAGUAGAAGAAGACCUGGUGGAAGGAGAAGUGAUGGGGCUAAAGGCUACAUCCCCAGCAGCGUCAUCAGACCACAGUCAACACACAUGACCAGACAGGGUGCCAAGCCGGUCCAGAACAGGUAUGGAGACACGUGGUCCGAUAGCUCCAGUACUCCCUCCAGUCCCCAGCACGAGGCACAUGAGAGCCUGGAUAAUGAGGACCUGGAGGACGAGAGAGACACUGCUGAGAGUUACUCAGACCACUCCGUCCAGGAGAAGAGGGCGAGUGAUCACAGCAGAGGGGAAGUUGUAGCUACUGUACACGCUGUAGUCCCUGUCCCCCACAGGGAAGAGCCAUCCUACACUGGCAGUACCCUGAGUGUACACCCUCUAUCAAUGACGGUCCAGAAUGGGCGAACCAUGCCAGACAGGACGGUCAUGGUCACUCCACAGCCGGAGGAUGGUUCACCAGCAGAUGGGGCACUGACUGAGACCAGUUCCUCAGGAGUCCAUCCCAAGCCAAGCUCCCCUGGAAGACCCUGAGAGGCAGAGGCACGUGUCUGCCCCCCUGAGCUCACCUCAGCUAGCCAAUGCAGGCUCCAGAAUUCACGUAAUGCCCCAGUGUUAUAGGACCCCUACCAGCCCAGAGAGUAGAAGCACUAACCCCCAUCACCAGCCCCCCAUGAGCGCCAUCAGUGUCAUCCCCCUGACCUUCCACAUGUCCCCCCUGAGGCCAGCAUACUCCAGCACUGACCCAGCCUCCACCGCCACCCUACCCCUAGCAGCCUCUCUCCCUGACCCUAGCACCAGGACCCAAGCCCUGGCUGCGCCCACCAGCCUACCCACCCCUACCUUCGUGACACCCUCCUCAGGGGCCACUGUCACCCCAGCUGCAUUCAGCCAGGUUCAGGCCACUCUGCCCCCAGCCGUCGCCACUCACACCCCCGGCCCCGUGGCCAGCCCAGCCCUGACCCUCAUCCACAGCACGGCCCAGGGAGAUGGUACCUCCUGCAGCAGUUCUGGGGUGGCAGCAGGCCCAGUCCCAGCAAAAGCCCCAGACCCAGCAGCAGGCCCACCAUCUACAGCAACAGCAGAUGAGCUGCAACUCCUGUGGUUGCCGUGGCAGCUGUGGUAAUAGCCACUCUGCCGCCCCCAACCCCAACUUCUCCUUCCCUCCCCAGCUGGGGCGCCAGGUCUUCAGCAAUGCCCACCUCCCUCUCUUCCACCUCCCAUCCAUGUGCAGCACUGAAUAUCCCAGCCACCGCAGCCAGGUCCAACACCAGAGCAACGCCACCACCCAGCUACCUUUCUACCCCCUUGCACCUCACACGGCCACCCCCACCUCCACGCCACUCCCACCACAUGCUGGCCACCCAGGCUGGAUACAACCUGCAGCAGAUGACAGCUGCUCCCUUCAACAGCUUCUACACGCCCAUGUUCUCCUCUUUGGGACUGGGCACGGGCACGAUGAAGAGCAGUGCCAACGUCUCUUGCUAUAACUGUGGACUAAGCGGGCAUUAUGCCCAGGACUGCAAACAGCCCUCCAUGGACACCUGGCAGCAAGGUAAUAUUGGCCAGGCUAGUGGCAGAGAGAGGAGGUGAAGUCUCUCACAGAGAUUCCUCAUCCUUAGUUUCAGCAUAGGAAGGCAAAGCUUUAUUUGGUAACCUGAUUUUUUUACACUGCGUUUUGCACUGUCCGACAUUUUUAUGUCUGAAGCUGGAUUGUCUGAAUGAGCUCUAUUAAAUACCCAGGCCAAGUGUUAAAACAUAUUUUGAUAGGACUGACUCUGAAUCUGAAAGACUAGCAUAGACUAUGGACAUCACAUUUCUUUAGGUUACUUGUUAGGCACGCGACACUGACACACUCCUGUGUGUGUGUGUUUCAGGUGACUUUCGGCUGAAGUACACGGACCCCCACUCCUUUGAAGCAGACCAAACUGACGGACAUGAGAGGGGACCAAGGCAAUGCUUUGUUUCUCACUACAGUAAAGAUUCCAGAAAAUGUUUUCAUGGGUUGAGUUUUUCACCAAUUGUAUUACUUUGCAAAUAUGCUGACUUGUUUCUCAGCAGAGAAUGGAAUCCUGUAUCAUUCUCAGACUUUUCAGAGGACGGUGGUAUUUUGCACUGGAGACAAGUACAAGACAGGCUCACGUUUUCAGACUAGUCUAUUACUUUAAAGAAAGAGACCCACGUCUUUAAAUGGUGUGGUGGUAAACUUGCAUUUAAUAAGGAUUAAUAGAUUGACUGAAGGUCGUUAUAUCCACAUUUCAAAGCAGGUCUUUUUAGUACAUUUCAAUUCUUACAGAAUCUGCCUUUGGUUCAAGUCAUUAUACGUUAGGCUAAGUAGCCUAUAUCACCAAAAGCAUUGUAUGUCUUCAAGUCUCGGUUACCCCUGUCAGUUCUUUCAUAGGUUAGCACUUGUAAUGGGAGGGAAGGUAGAAAAGGUGGUUGGACAAUACCUUAGUGCCUCACAGAGAAAAGAUGGAGAGGGUUUUACAUUUGAGUCAUUUAGCAGACGGCCUUAUCCAGAGCCACAUACAGUUUCUUACUUUUUUGUAUUAUCUCAUAGGUGUUCAAAAUGCAAGAUACAGUUUCAAAGCAGCUCCUAGUUAACCAGCUAAUUUUCAUUUUAUUUAUUUGAGAACAAAAUAUGUGAAGAACCUCACGCUCUUAUUUUUGGGGGAUUGUCAUAAAGCGGGGAAAAGAUGCAUGGUUUAUAAGAUAAAGUAUGUAUGUCAUAAUUAGGUUUUUGACAGAAUAUGCUGAAUGUACCAUAAAUAGCCUGUAUUUGAUUUGUUUUACAAGCUAAUGGUAUUCCAUUUGAGGCAAAUUUUGUACGAAAAAAGUAAGUUUUAUUGCUGUUUGUUACCACUUGAUAUAAUGUGAAGCGUGUAUUAAGUCAAUCAUGUCUCAUUCAUGAUGUUAAUGCUACUGCUGCUUGGUUUGUUUCCUGGGGGCAAAAAUGCACUAAUUUGUGUGUGUGUGUGGGUGGGUCAUGUCCCCAAUGCUCUCAGGCAAUGAGAGGACUCUUGUGGUUGUAUCCCUUGAGCGUCUCUACUCUAGGAAGAGAUUUAUUGAGGUCCAAAUCACCCCCCCCCCCCCACCCCAAACCCCUAGGCACUUGGGUUGAUCCAAAAUCACCCUAGCCACUUCGGAAAUCUGAAUGCAUUGGGAUAGGUUAAAUCAAUGGUGAAAGUUUUACCUGAGCUUGCCUUCUGAUAAGCCAAGUGGAACUCUUGCCAUAUUGCCUUCACCUAUACAAUACUUCCUGAUCUAAGGUUUGAUUUUUGGAUUGGGCUACAGAAUCAAUGGUCCCUUGUCCUACCGCCAUGCAUGUACUGUACCUGUUGAAUGUGUGGCUCCUGCCUGUUUGUGUAGGCUUGUCAAGCUCUUUGUUGCCAGAACGUCUGUGCCAUAUUCCUCCUUUCUCAUGCAGCAAGGAGGUUGUAUUAUGCAUGUAAGUGUAUAUUUGUGCACAGCAGUAAGGGGUUAACUUCACACACAUCCUUUACCUGUAUGAUUGACUACUAUACAGAAUAACUUCUGUAUUAGAAAAUGUAACACGGUUGUUUGUGGGUUUGAAAGCCACUUGUCUUUCACUGUUCGUUGAGGUGGAUUGUUUUGUGUUUUCCACACACAGGCAAAAAAUAUGUAAACUAUUUGAAAUUAUAUUCAGGUAAAAUCACUCAGUUUUAUAAAGUGUGACUUAUCCUCUGUUUUUCUGUAAGCAGCUUUUCGUUUUUUUUAAGCAUUUUGUAUUGGAUUUCAGAGGCCUAGUUGUUGACUUUAUUUGAAUUAAUAUCUUUAUUUUGAUAAAGAACAUUAAAGUUGAGAGGAAAAAUAGACUAUGAAGCUUGGGUUGUAUUUGUUUAACUUUUCUAUAGUUAAAGAUGCUGUGCUGUAGAUUAAGGUAGUGUUACCUCUGAUGCGAUUACUAUAUUACUAAAUGUUAACAUGUAGUUACUGAAAGGGAAGAAUACAAUCGAUCCUUCCUGUGCUAAAUUAAGCUACCAGAAUUUUUGUUCAGUUAAAUUGGUAGCAAUCAAACAGCUAAGUUUAUUUUUUUUAUAUGGCGAGACACCCAUACUAUAAUGAACAAAAAUAAAC